AUAUUUAUGGGUAAUUACUAAUUUCAUGUCCCAUAUGUAUUAUAUCGCGUAGUAUGAAGAAACAAAGUCAAGCACUUACGAGAGCCUUUGGUGGAGUGAAAUUUUGAGUGGGAGUCUGUAUUAUUACAGUUUUGUACCGUCCAAAUGACAGCCCCGUAAAUCAGCUCCAGCCGACGCACCUUUGCUUCCAUAGCUCAUGCAUAACCACAUACCCGGGGAUUCAAAUCAACCUACAAGAAUAUUAAUCCAUUAGAACUUCAUGCAGAAUAAGAAGAAAAUUAGUCAGAUCCAAGAUGACAGCAGACCGAAUUGGUUAGGAUGUGUGUCAAUGCUUGGUGGCUUCGCCCGCCAUCACCGAGCUAUCAAAAUCACAAAGAGGAAAAUAUGUACUGGCUACUGCUCGCAUUUCACAAACACAUCAUAUUACAAUCACAUGCCUCAUUUGGAGGCCAUAUAAUAAUCAUACAUCAUUUUUGUAUCAAUAGAAAAGAAGACAUAUACUUUUCACCAUGUACACUGUGACCGUAAAAUAUAGAAUAUUUCAUGUACUGAACCGUGAGUACAAGGGUUGGAUCAUGAGUUAUCUAAAGAGAGGAAAAGAUUUUGUACAUGCAAGUAACUCAAAACGCCCAUGAAAGUAAACCAGAUCAGCACAAAAACAGAACCAAAUCAAGCAUAGAUGCAAGAGAGAAAGGGAUUUCAUCCUACCACCAGAUCGGAGGAAGUCGAUCCGUCGCCUCUCAGUCGAGGACGGCGCGCCAGUGGAGGUGAAAGCCGCCGCCUGGCAGAUCAGCAGCCUUCCGUCCAAGUCGGCCCACGCGGAAGGGG
This 828-nucleotide long non-coding RNA is filed under the name Triticum aestivum (bread wheat). RNAcentral's name for it is "long non-coding RNA (TAES_LNC010095)". The record is from RNAcentral. Lineage: Eukaryota; Viridiplantae; Streptophyta; Magnoliopsida; Poales; Poaceae.